RNAcentral lists this ribosomal RNA (522 nucleotides) under uncultured bacterium. Its description in RNAcentral is "bacterial SSU rRNA". It matches the Rfam family "Bacterial small subunit ribosomal RNA", at positions 390 to 917 of the family's 1533-position model. The record is from RNAcentral.
AGCCACGCCGCGUGCAGGAAGACGGCCCUCUGGGUUGUAAACUGCUAAAACUGGGAAGAAAAGAGGCUUUGCGAAGCAAGUUGACGGUACCAGUUGAAUAAGCCACGGCUAACUACGUGCCAGCAGCCGCGGUAAUACGUAGGUGGCGAGCGUUAUCCGGAUUUAUUGGGUUUAAAGGGAGCGUAGGCGGCUGAUUAAGUCAGCGGUGAAAGGUAGCAGCUUAACUGUUUUACAUGCCGUUGAUACUGGUUAGCUUGAGUUGACAGAAGGCAGAUAGAAUUCCUGAUGUAGCGGUGAAAUGCUUAGAUAUCAGGAGGAAUACCGAUUGCGAAGGCAGUCUGCUGCAGUCACACUGACGCUGAGGCUCGAAGGUGCGGGGAUCAAACAGGAUUAGAUACCCUGGUAGUCCGCACAGUAAACGAUGAUUACUAGAUGUUGGCCAAGCCAGUGUCCAAGGGAAACCGAUAAGUAAUCCACCUGGGGAGUACGCCGGCAACGGUGAAACUCAAAGGAAUUGACGGA